UGCCGCUAGGGGGCGCUGUGUGGCAUUGGGACCUAUGGGGCAUAAUGCAGCCCUACGGCAUGCAGUGUGAGAAGGGGGGCAAUGGGGGGCAGUGGGGGGCAGUGGGACCUAUGGGGUACAAUACAGCCCUAUGGGGUGGGAGGUGGCCGCUAGGGGGCGCUGUGGGGCAUUUGGAUCUAUGGGGUGGAGGACUGCCGCUAGGGGGCGCUGUGGGGCAUUGGGAUCUAUGGGGUGGAGGACUGCCGCUAGGGGGCGCUGUGGGGCAUUGGGAUCUAUGGGGUGGAGGACUGCCGCUAGGGGGCGCUGUGGGGCAGUGGGACCUAUGGGGUACAGUGCAGCCCUACGGCAUGCAGGGUGAGAAGGGGGGCCG
RNAcentral lists this long non-coding RNA (370 nucleotides) under Gallus gallus (chicken). RNAcentral describes it as "lncRNA (ENSGALG00010009813.1)". Lineage: Eukaryota; Metazoa; Chordata; Aves; Galliformes; Phasianidae. The record is from RNAcentral.